UGUUUUCUUGACUUCCAUCUUCUUCUCCAUUGUUGUUUUCUUGAUUUCCAUCCUCUUCUUCUUCAUCGGGAUCAGAUUCUUGAUUACUAUUCUGUUGAUUUCCAUGGUCUCCGCUUUUUCCUUGUUCCAAUUCUUGAUUCUCAUUCUGUCCAUCAAGCUCCCUCUGCCCUUCUGCUUCUUCUUCAUCAGUACAUAAUCGCUCACAUUCAUUCAACUCAAAGCCAGCGCAGUUCGUCGAACAUUCAUCCGACAUAAGACCUUUAUCUUCUUCUUCUUCU
RNAcentral lists this long non-coding RNA (278 nucleotides) under Capsicum annuum. Its description in RNAcentral is "long non-coding RNA (CANN_LNC022257)". Lineage: Eukaryota; Viridiplantae; Streptophyta; Magnoliopsida; Solanales; Solanaceae. The record is from RNAcentral.